CCGGCGCACGGGUGAGUAACACGUAUGCAACCUGGCCGUGACAGAUGGAUAACCGGGAGAAAUCCCGCCUAAUACAGCAUGACGCCGGGAAGGGACAUCCCUUUCCGGCCAAAGGGGGCGACUCCGGUCACGGAUGGGCAUGCGGCGCAUUAGGUAAUUGGUGGGGCAACGGCCCACCAAGCCGACGAUGCGUAGGGGUUCUGAGAGGAAGGUCCCCCACACUGGUACUGAGACACGGACCAGACUCCUACGGAAGGCAGCAG
RNAcentral lists this ribosomal RNA (263 nucleotides) under uncultured bacterium. Its description in RNAcentral is "partial 16S ribosomal RNA". It matches the Rfam family "Bacterial small subunit ribosomal RNA", at positions 95 to 354 of the family's 1533-position model. The record is from RNAcentral.